CCUACGGGAGGCAGCAGUGGGGAAUUUUGCGCAAUGGGGGCAACCCUGACGCAGCAACGCCGCGUGAGUGAUGAAGGCCUUCGGGUCGUAAAGCUCUGUCAGAGGGGAAGAAAUGCAGGUGGUGAACAACCAUUCUGUUUGACGGUACCCUCAAAGGAAGCACCGGCUAACUCCGCGCCAGCAGCCGCGGUAAUACGGAGGGUGCGAGCGUUGUUCGGAAUUAUUGGGCGUAAAGCGCGUGUAGGCGGUUUGUUAAGUCUGAGGUGAAAGCCCCGGGCUCAACCUGGGAAGUGCAUUGGAUACUGGCAGACUUGAGUACGGGAGAGGAGAGUGAAAUUCCCAGUGUAGGAGUGAAAUUCGUAGAUAUUGGGAGGAACACCGGUGGCGAAAGCGGCCUCCGGGACGGCUACUGACGCUGAGACGCGAAAGCGUGGGGAGCAAACAGGAUUAGAUACCCCGGUAGU
This 464-nucleotide ribosomal RNA is filed under the name uncultured Geobacteraceae bacterium. Its description in RNAcentral is "partial 16S ribosomal RNA". It matches the Rfam family "Bacterial small subunit ribosomal RNA", at positions 338 to 794 of the family's 1533-position model. The record is from RNAcentral. Lineage: Bacteria; Pseudomonadati; Thermodesulfobacteriota; Desulfuromonadia; Geobacterales; Geobacteraceae.